RNAcentral lists this unclassified non-coding RNA (21 nucleotides) under Mus musculus (house mouse). Its description in RNAcentral is "oocyte_clustered_small_RNA5480". The record is from RNAcentral. Lineage: Eukaryota; Metazoa; Chordata; Mammalia; Rodentia; Muridae.
ACCACUGCCACCCCUGCCAUC